GGGCCUGCGUUUCAUUAGCUAGWUGGUAGGGGAAUGGCCUACCAAGGCAACGAUGAGUAGCUGGUCUGAGAGGAUGAUCAGCCAC
This 85-nucleotide ribosomal RNA is filed under the name uncultured delta proteobacterium. RNAcentral describes it as "partial 16S ribosomal RNA". It matches the Rfam family "Bacterial small subunit ribosomal RNA", at positions 227 to 311 of the family's 1533-position model. Lineage: Bacteria; Deltaproteobacteria. The record is from RNAcentral.